UACGGAGGAUGCGAGCGUUAUCCGGAUUCAUUGGGUUUAAAGGGUGCGCAGGCGGCGGCGUAAGUCAGCGGUGAAAUCCCGGGGCCCAACCCCGGAAGUGCCGAUGAUACUGCGUCGCUGGAAUGCGGUCGAUGCGGGCGGAACGUGGCGUGUAGCGGUGAAAUGCGUAGAUAUGCCACAGAACGCCGGUAGCGGAGGCGGCUCGCCAGGCCUGCAUUGACGCUCGGGCACGAAAGCGUGGGGAUCGGAC
Molecule: ribosomal RNA, 250 nt
Filed under: uncultured prokaryote
Description: partial 16S ribosomal RNA
Rfam family: Bacterial small subunit ribosomal RNA
Source: RNAcentral